This 940-nucleotide ribosomal RNA is filed under the name bacterium enrichment culture clone bHCH6_F3. Its description in RNAcentral is "bacterial SSU rRNA". It matches the Rfam family "Bacterial small subunit ribosomal RNA", at positions 56 to 992 of the family's 1533-position model. The record is from RNAcentral.
UGCAAGUCGAGCGGAUGAAGAGAGCUUGCUUUCUGAUUCAGCGGCGGACGGGUGAGUAAUGCCUAGGAAUCUGCCUGAUAGUGGGGGACAACGUUUCGAAAGGAACGCUAAUACCGCAUACGUCCUACGGGAGAAAGCAGGGGACCUUCGGGCCUUGCGCUAUCAGAUGAGCCUAGGUCGGAUUAGCUAGUUGGUGAGGUAACGGCUCACCAAGGCGACGAUCCGUAACUGGUCUGAGAGGAUGAUCAGUCACACUGGAACUGAGACACGGUCCAGACUCCUACGGGAGGCAGCAGUGGGGAAUAUUGGACAAUGGGCGAAAGCCUGAUCCAGCCAUGCCGCGUGUGUGAAGAAGGUCUUCGGAUUGUAAAGCACUUUAAGUUGGGAGGAAGGGCAUUAACCUAAUACGUUAGUGUUUUGACGUUACCGACAGAAUAAGCACCGGCUAACUUCGUGCCAGCAGCCGCGGUAAUACGAAGGGUGCAAGCGUUAAUCGGAAUUACUGGGCGUAAAGCGCGCGUAGGUGGUUUGUUAAGUUGAAUGUGAAAGCCCCGGGCUCAACCUGGGAACUGCAUCCAAAACUGGCAAGCUAGAGUAUGGCAGAGGGUGGUGGAAUUUCCUGUGUAGCGGUGAAAUGCGUAGAUAUAGGAAGGAACACCAGUGGCGAAGGCGACCACCUGGGCUAAUACUGACACUGAGGUGCGAAAGCGUGGGGAGCAAACAGGAUUAGAUACCCUGGUAGUCCACGCCGUAAACGAUGUCGACUAGCCGUUGGGAUCCUUGAGAUCUUAGUGGCGCAGCUAACGCAUUAAGUCGACCGCCUGGGGAGUACGGCCGCAAGGUUAAAACUCAAAUGAUUGACGGGGGCCCGCACAAGCGGUGGAGCAUGUGGGUUUAAUUCGAAGCAACGCGAAGAACCUUACAGGCCUUGACAUGCAGA